CCGAGAUUACGUCAUCUAUUAAACUGGGUUAUGUUUGGGCCACUUCAAGCCCAUCAUGAUCCAGUGUAGCGUAUUUUGUUUUAUGCAUUAAUGCACUUUUGUAUGGUUAAAGUUUAACCCAAAAAACACUACGGAUUAUUCAAGAAAAGUAAAAAGGAACCGAAUUGACUAAAAUUCUAAUAUUUUUUUAAAGAUACAAAAAAAAAAAACUUAAAAUAAUUUAUUCUGGGAAUUGAUCUGAAUUAUCGGAUUAAAUCCUUCUCAAAACCAAACCGAACAAACAUACUUCGAAACAAAUAUUUUUUAACUGGGCAAGACUUUUCCUAAACGACCAAACCGGAUAGCCAUGCCUGGUCUUGUUUUUUUUUUUUUGCUAAAAUUUGGUGCAUAUAUUGUAUAUUGUAUAUUUAUGUUUAUUUUUGGCUUUUCAGAUUUGUAUAUUGUAAUGACGGGAUAGCUAAGAGAAAGUAAAUUUUUAAUUUAUUUAAUCUUUCUUGAUUGUUUUUUUGUUAAUUAUUAACAAUACAAACGUUUCAUCGAAUCAUACACAAACAUUUCAUCGAUAAAUAUUAUAACUUAGCAGGUCAAUUUAUACUCCUUAUUGACCCACCUAAAUGAGACCUUAUAUGGCCCAUACUAUUGGUGUUCACUAGAGAGACAGAUGUCACAUCAGAUCUGAACAAAAGAAUCUGGUUAGUUCCUUAAUUAGCAAAUAAUAAAAGGAAUUAUACUGUAAUUAUAAAUUACUAGAGGUUUGCCCGUCCUACGGGCGGGUGAAUUUACACUAAAACUAUUUUAUAUUAAAAUAUAUUUUAAUUUUAUAAAACAUUUGAAAAUUUACUUCAUAUUAAAAAUAAUAUAUAAUCUGUUUUUAUUUUAAGAUCAAAGUGUAAAUGUUAUUAAAUUUGUUAAUUUGAGUUAAGAAGACUACUAACAUAAGUUACAAAAAGAGAUGGUCAAUAACAGUGUUUUUUGUUAGAACUCGAAAUUAUUAAAUUAAAAGUUAUGGAAAAUGUAAUAAUUUAUAUUUUUCCUAUUUGAUUUUUAUUUCAAUUUGACAUUGAUGAAAAUCUAAAGUAAGAAUAACUAAUAUAUUUUUUUAUACUGUUGUUAAUUAUUUUUCCUACUGAUUUGGUUUUCAUGUGUUUUCCUUUUUGUAAAGUAGGUACAAUGAUUUAGUGUAUUUUAUUUUAUAAUAUUGUCAUGUUUGUUUGAUUGUUAUGUAUAUACAAUGUGUCUAUUUUAGGUUUGUAGUGUUUGAUUUACUUGAGUCUGAUGCUUUCAAGCCAAUUGGCCCGAGGAGGCUUCUUCACCAUGGCGUUGGGUGUAGGUACGUCUAAUAGCAAGCUCUUCUUCACCUUGUUAGGGUGCGUGAAAAUGAGUACAUUCUUAAGUGAGGCUGAGAGUUUCUUAAGAGUCAAGGGAAGAGUUAAGAGGCGAAGAGGCAAGAUAGCAACCGUUACGUAAUUAUAACCUGAAAACUUAAAGCCUUUUGCUAUUGUUUGUUACGUUACUGUAAUAAGAACAACUCGAGACACUCUAAACAUGGUGAAAAGAGUCAUAAUAGUUAGGCCCUCAUUAUUGGGUGUGAAAGUCAAAAAGUGUAUUCAUAUUUUUUAGUUACAGUUUAACAAAAUUAUGGCAAAUUUAAUUAUGGGUAUGAAUACUUGUUGGAAAAUACAACGUUUUAAACCCAACUCAGACAAAGGCUGCCUUCGUAAGAUACUGGCUUGGUUUGCUUGCGUCUUUAAUUCCAUGAGAAUGGUAACAUUAUUGAGAGCUUAUAUUUUUUUUUGGUAAAAUAUUGAGAGCUCUUAUUUGAUCACAUGAAAGAAAACAACACUCGCACUACCAAAAAAAAGUGUGUUUUGAAUCACUUAUUUUAAAUAUUUGUAUUAGUUAUAAUUGAUGUAAACAGAUUUUACAUCAUUUAAGAAAGUGACUAUGAAAGUGAUGAUGCAAAUAAUUCUCAUUAGUUUAAAUAGAAGUGAUGCAAAUAUUAUUUUUAUGUAUCAAGUGCUUUGUAUUUGAUGUUUUGUUAUUAAUAAAUUUGGGUUUUAUAUAUCACUGAGAUGCUUUGUUUCCAUCUUCUUUUUAUCUUUUUCUAUCCUAUUAUAGAAAAUGAGUCUAUUAAGCAUGUGAAAAUAUAAAUCGUUUACUAAUGACUAUCUCAUGAAGCUAACUUGCAUAUUUUACGAUUUUGAAAAUCUUUUACAUUUCUUGCUAGUAUGUUCUCAUUUCUUCAUUGCCACCUAAAUGUUCACAAUGUUUCCUAUCCAUUGAAUUUUGGUUGUAACUGAACCUAUUUGCAGCUAAAUCAUCCAUAGUUAGUGGGAAGUAUAUCUAGACUUACAUAAUCGUUUCGCUAAGGAAGCUUGCAUUUGCUUAAGUUUAUGCCAGGAUUUUUUUUUAAAGUUUUUAUGUUUUAGCCACAUUUAUAUUUUACUUGACAAUUCCUUUUGUUUAUUUAUGUUCUUUUUGGCUUUUCAGAUUUGUAUAUUGUAAUGGAGAUGUAUCCGUUCACAUCAGAGAAGGCGAUCAUUUGUUGUUCUAUUAGCAUAGUGAGUUUUUUCUAUUAACACGGGUAGCUGGUCGGGUCAUUUCCCUUGUAAGGUUUCUUUGGACUAACUGUUAACAUUGUGCAUGCAUUAUAAAUUUAGUAAAAAAGGUUAUAUAAAUGUCACUGAGCUACUCAAGUGACCUCCUAAAUCUUCUUUAGUGAAACAAAAGAGUAUAAGUGGAGCCAAAUAUAUAAAUAGAUGAAUACAAAUACAAAAAACGGUAAUUUCGAUCAGCUUUUUUUUUUUUUUUUUUUUUUUGAAACACAAACUUCAACUUGCUUGAUUACAAAUGAUAGAGGGAAUUGUCCGUCCUCUUUGAUUGAAAACAUCAACUACAACAACAUAAGAUAACAAAGAUAGAUCUUCAAAAGAAGAAGAUGACAGCGAACUCAAGAUGGUGCUUGAAUGCGUCAGUGUAGCCUUCCCGACAUGGUCGGAUAGCAGAGAGAUAGUCACCUUAAAUUGUGACGUUAACAUCCAAUCCACACCUCGGAAACUCGUCAAAACGAAUCCUGCUGCAUCUUCAGGCCCCGAACAGACCGCUCCACAAGAUUGCAAGACGGGUAUAGAUAUGGAUAAACACCUCCAUAGAAUUGGAGGGAGAUCACUCCUUAAAAAGGAGGUAAAUGAUGAUAAUGAUGGUCCCGGUGAGCCCACCGGUAAAUGAAAAGUUAUGAAAUGAUCCAGUGAGUGCAAAUUCGUUUCCGUAAAAACCUUGGUGAACCCACCAAAAAUUUCCAGAAAAAUGGCCAAAUAGACCAAGAUCCCCCACUUCUUAGUGGGCUGUGAAACUGGACUGAGAAUGUUACAAUUAAAAACUGAUGGGCUUAUGAAACCCAUAACCAACCUUUGUUGGCCCACCUCAGCGUAGAGGAACAGACGAACGGCGAUGUGAGAGCAACGAUGUGCGGAUGGCCGAGCUGAGUCCAGGGAAGGGAGGAGCGCCGGUUCCGUCCUCCUGUCCGGUGGAUACGGGGUCAAGAACCGUGGAAGAGGUCAUCUAGGGUUAAAGCUUUCACCACGGGACUGCUUCAACGAAAGACUAUGGCUUGCGAUACGUGGAGUUGGUGGCAGAUCUGACCGGUAAAAACCAGAUCCGUAGCGACGAACGAUUCUCUCCCCAAAAUGGGGUUGAUAAUCGCCGGUGGGAAACUUGGCGUUAGUGGUAGGAGGAUAUGUUGAGACACGGCGUUUGCGAAAGAUGAAGGAUGCGGUGGAAGAGGAUGACAGGGGAACCCCCCAAGAACGGUCGGAUCUGGUGACACCAAACCCGUAAAAGAGCAGCCAAACGCUGUAACUUUCGACGAUAACCAUUCUCCAAGAAGAAACGUUGACAGAAGUUACGGCGGUGGCCAAAGAGACGACAAACACAGAGGAAACGUAGAAGAAACGAGGAGUAGAACAACCAAGAGUGAGGGAGGCUCGACGCCGGCGGUUUGAGAUCCCACCAGCGUCAAGAAACGAUGAUUUCAGAGUUGUCUCGAUUCUCGUGUCAGAGAGGACUAGGGCAAACUCUGUUAUUGUAUAUAUAGUCGAACAGACUCUCUAAUACACAUUUGUUGUGUCAUAAUUUCGGUCAGCUUUGUCUUCGAAAAUAUCGUUAUUUCGCCGGCUUUGCUUCCUGUUUUGAGAUUCUGUAAAAUCAUCCAUUUAAAUAGCACUAAUAGUCUAUAUGUAUUUGUUUUUGUAACAUUAUUAUAUGUAUUGCAUGCAUGCAAAUGAUAAUACAUUAACGUAACAACUUCAGUUACUGUUCAUUCCUUAUGUACUAGGCAUAUAAUAAUCUUUUAUUUAGUUUAUGUAGAAAUGAUUUUUUAUGUAAUUCAUUCCAAAAUCAUUUCGUAAGAUCUAUCUUAAUAAUAGAUUUUACUAUUUUAUUAUAAUAAAUAUAAGAAGUACUUAACAUGUUACCAAAAAAAAAAAGUACAAAUAAAAAUUUCAAGUAUAAUGCAAAAAUAAAAAGUAGGUUAGAAUAAUUUUCAAAAAAUUAUAUAUGAAAGCAUGAAAAUAAGCAUUUGCAGAACCACUGUAGCUUUUAUAUGAUUUCUUAAGAAAAUAUCAACGAAAUUGAUUUACUUAAUCCCCUAGGUGGAAGGGUGUGACACCCGUCACCUCCAAUCCGGAGAACCACGGGCCACCAACAAUAUCUCGUAUAAUAAAAGCUCAUAUACCCAAUUACACUCACCCAAAACCCAAAUAAAAAUCCGAAUAAAAAGUCCAGUAGCACCAAUCCGUCCAAAUAUCAUAUACUCAUCUGUCUCACCUGAAAUGGGGAAGAAGAGGGAUGAGUAACGGAGAAGUCACUCAAUGAGGUAUGGGAUACUAAACCCGAAGUCCAUGGACCCGGACAGAGCACUCCGAAUAAAUAUAAUUUAAUCCGAACACGUUGCAAACACGGUACCUAAAGUACCCAGAGAUCAAACAAACUGCCCACUAACAGACCAAAAACACCACCGAAUAUAUGCUCGGUAACACACGCCCAUAGACGAUUUAUCGACCUCCACGCCUUGGCACAACAUGUCGACUACGCUGUGCCGCGGCAAACACCACACCCAAUGUACUGUCUCCGGACGAUACACCCAUGGUCGGCUAUCAUCCAAAUCACAUCAAUAUACUAUAUAUAUAUAUAUAUAUUAUCGAUUAUAAAUGAACAAGUAUUGUUGAACCAUCUAACACCCUAGUUCCGAUUAAGCAAAGAACCUAAAACUAAGCAAACAAUGACAGACUCGAUUUCACAUAGACAGAACACAUUAGAAAUAAAUUAUACUUAUUCGAGGUCCUAAGCCGUGUAAGAGAAGUUCGGGAAAAGACCGUCACCUUUGCCAUAUCGGAGAAACCAAAAAGGAUCUGAAAACAACAGAGUCUCGGCCACAUCUUGGCACAACAAUAAAUCAAUGGAGGUCCACCAUACCCCAUGUUCUAAAACGCGGCCGGAGCGGCCGAUUCCACGCCGGUAAAGCGCUCGGCGGAGCUCCGCCGCCGCGAUUCUAUUAUAAUCGGCCAGAAACUUGCUUCCAAAAAAAACAUAUAUAUUACAAUGAUUUUGAGUCCAAAAACGCUAGUUACAACAUAUAUCUCGAUGGUAACAACAAAGAAACGAUGUGGAAUCAAAGCAAAUCGCCCAAAAAAAAGUGAUUUUUGCCUGAAAACAGGUAAAAUAGCUGCAAAAUAGGUUAGUGGAGAGAGGAAUGUCGUGAAAGAAGAAGACAUUAAAACUACAAUAUUGCCCUCCACUUAAAAAAGGGUAAAAACAACAAAAGAUUCAUAUAUGGUCCUUCGACCUCGGGUCCAGAUGCUUUAAUAAGCUCACCCAACCGCUAGACCAUGGCUCUUCAACAGAAACUGUCGCUAUGAAUAACAUUUAAACGUAUCUUAUAUAAAAUAAUUGUAACUUUUUUAAAUUAUUAAAAAAAUUACGCCCCGAUUACUCCCCGAUUUUUUUCCGCUUUUCUAAUAACUCGCUAGGCCCGGGUGAGCCGCACGCGUUACGCCUAGCGAGUUUUCUAACAUGGACCAUACCUCUCGGAUAAAUAUAAAAGUGAAAAUAAUUAGGCUUGCAAAACUUGCUGCGCAAGAAACAAAAAGGGCAAGGCGCUUGAACCUUCACUUCACGGAUUGACUCGCGACGGCGGAUCUCUUGACUCCUGCGAUAGGAGCUAUGUUCAUGUCUCUUCUCACGGUCUACACCUCUUGGUUCUGAUGCGUGACGACCUCAAGGAAAAGGCUACGGAUCUUUGACAGCGGCGUCGAUGCAUCACAGCUCCUUGACAUAGCUCCAUGGCUGGUGUGAUGAGGUUUCCCUUGAGAUGAUCGUGCAUCACUGGUGGUAUCUCUCUCCAACGUCAUGGCGGCUCUCAACAGAAGAAGAACAUCACUUUAAUUAUAUAAUUAGGUAUGAGCCACACGACACACGGUUAAGAGACAAAGGAAGGCUUUGGUUUAAUAAAAAUAAUUGAUAAGUGGAACAAACCAGACCGGUUAAGAUCAACAAAAGAAUUUAAGCAAUUAAAAUUCGGUUCAAGGUAACCGGGUCGUUACAAAGGGUUUAAAAGAAGGCUCCUUCCUCAUCUUCCUCCCUCUCUUUUCUCGUUACUACUCUCUUCUUUACAAAUCAUAACAGAAAGAGAGAAAUCGAGAAGUUGAGUAAGUUUGGGGGUAUUUUGUUUAAGGAACAGAGCAAUCGAGAGAGGAGAUCGAGUCAAGUUUGGGAGAUGGAAGAAGUUGAAGAAGUGGAGGUUGAUGGAGCGGAUGACAACAACGAAGGUUUAGGUCCUUUGGAGAUUAUUCGUAACUUCGUUUUAGUCAAGAGGAUUGAUCUUACGUGGAUGACCCAGAGGAGAAAUCUAUUCCAGAGGUAAUUGAAAGCUAUAUGAUAAUCCGAAAAUAGAACUAUAUACUACGACUAUAUUUCUGAGAAGUUGGGACAUACUUGCUUUGACGUGACAUGACAUGAUUUUAUAUAGCUUAUUCAGUAAAUGUAACCAAAUGAUCACAAAGCAUUAUAGUCAUGUCUAAAAAUGUUAUGUCACGACUUUACAUAUAUUUACAGAAAUUAUCACAAAAGCAAUUAACGCUGACCAAGAAUAGUUAUUUCUUAAACUAAAGAUAAUUUCCACCAAAUAUGAAGCGUGAUUUCAAAUUAAUCUCAGACCAAUGAGCCAUUAAAAAUAUAUAUACAUGUGUUAGACAAAACAUAAUUCAAAUUAAAACACUAUACCUAGUUUCAAAUUAAUCUCAGACCAAUGAUCCAUAAAAAAUAUAUAUACCAAAACUCGAAACGUGAACACUGUACGUACCAAGGAUUAAUUUUUAUCAAAAGGAUUUGUGUUUGAAAUUCUUAUGUCUCUAAUCUUUCUCUUUGUUCUUUGUUCUUACAUCAGAAGUUCACGAAUAUCAAUUCGGUUUGGCCCCUUCUUAAUAUCUCCAACUUUAUUUAAUGCGUCAGAUGUUUCUUGUAUUUUCAGUAAAAAAUAUAUGUAUUCAACUUAAUUUCUUCGCAACUUGCGGGCUCUUAUAUUCAAGAAAAGAAGACCAUCAAGCUUUUGAGUUAUUAUUUCCAUAUUAUCUCCAGACUGCAUUUCUCUUAGACAUGCAUUUACAUAUAUAUACUUCUUUUAUUAUUUUUGAGGGUUCAUAUUUUCUGUUUUCAAUUAAUAUAUAAAUUAUAAGCCAUUGCAGAGGAAUGGUUCAUAUUGUUAACAUAUAGCAGGGAACCAAGACGAAUACUCUUUGAGGAUUCGUAUUAUUGUGGAUAUCUUAUAAAGAAAUCUUAAAAAGAAUAUACAUUAUAAAUAUUAUGUUAGGUUCUUAAAAUCAUGGAAAACCAAAUUUUAGACAAAAUUAGAAUUUUGGGGUUGGGUUUUCCGUGAUCUUAAGAUUUUCAUAUUAGAUAUUAAUAUUUGUGUAUACAUACACUUUAAUUUUGAGCUAAGAACCAUAUGCUAAAAUAUUUUCAUUGGAGGUGUUCUCACGGCUAACAACACUAAAUAAAAGAAAUUGUUACUCGGCCUUUACAAAAGUAAAUAAAAAGAAAUACUUAUUUAGAUCAGGAUUAUCGAGGGGAUAUUAGAGGGUUUUUAGUGGUAUAGGUCUUACUUUUUUGUAAAAAUCGGUCACACAAAUCACACAAUGAGGAUUGAUCUUUCUUCAAUUAUUGCACUAUUCGCGGAUCCCACUGACACUUGACGGUCUGCGAUUGGUGCGCCGUUUAAAUUAUUUUUUUUUAAUCAGAAAAAAAAAUACUUAUCUAUGAAACCGUGCAUGCCUUAAUCAUGCUCUUACGGUUCACCUUCUGGCUCAGAAGUCAGAACAAGUCUCUUCCUUCUCUCAAGUCUUAACAGUUGACCCUCUCGCUUAGGAGUCUUUUUGAUUUUAUCGUUCGACUAUUAUACCAAGUAGAGCGACUGGUUCAACUUGAUUUCAUCAAGCCGGGAACUGUUGGAUUACACACCAAACUCCACCUUAGUCGACGUUGUUCUUUGCCUGUGGAAAGUAGCUUUGAGAGUCUAUCCACGCCUUCGUGUUUACCUUUCAAGUGAUAAAGACGAGGACACAGCUC
This is a long non-coding RNA of Brassica napus (rape), 8619 nucleotides long. RefSeq lists it as uncharacterized. The record is from RefSeq and is a predicted model, not a curated record. Lineage: Eukaryota; Viridiplantae; Streptophyta; Magnoliopsida; Brassicales; Brassicaceae. The transcript is spliced from 5 exons.